RNAcentral lists this ribosomal RNA (581 nucleotides) under Staphylococcus aureus. RNAcentral's name for it is "partial 23S ribosomal RNA". It matches the Rfam family "Bacterial large subunit ribosomal RNA", at positions 587 to 1167 of the family's 2925-position model. Lineage: Bacteria; Bacillati; Bacillota; Bacilli; Caryophanales; Staphylococcaceae. The record is from RNAcentral.
UAAUGGGUGAUGGCGUGCCUUUUGUAGAAUGAACCGGCGAGUUACGAUUUGAUGCAAGGUUAAGCAGUAAAUGUGGAGCCGUAGCGAAAGCGAGUCUGAAUAGGGCGUUUAGUAUUUGGUCGUAGACCCGAAACCAGGUGAUCUACCCUUGGUCAGGUUGAAGUUCAGGUAACACUGAAUGGAGGACCGAACCGACUUACGUUGAAAAGUGAGCGGAUGAACUGAGGGUAGCGGAGAAAUUCCAAUCGAACCUGGAGAUAGCUGGUUCUCUCCGAAAUAGCUUUAGGGCUAGCCUCAAGUGAUGAUUAUUGGAGGUAGAGCACUGUUUGGACGAGGGGCCCCUCUCGGGUUACCGAAUUCAGACAAACUCCGAAUGCCAAUUAAUUUAACUUGGGAGUCAGAACAUGGGUGAUAAGGUCCGUGUUCGAAAGGGAAACAGCCCAGACCACCAGCUAAGGUCCCAAAAUAUAUGUUAAGUGGAAAAGGAUGUGGCGUUGCCCAGACAACUAGGAUGUUGGCUUAGAAGCAGCCAUCAUUUAAAGAGUGCGUAAUAGCUCACUAGUCGAGUGACACUGCGCCGA